RNAcentral lists this ribosomal RNA (468 nucleotides) under uncultured bacterium. RNAcentral describes it as "partial 16S ribosomal RNA". It matches the Rfam family "Bacterial small subunit ribosomal RNA", at positions 28 to 507 of the family's 1533-position model. The record is from RNAcentral.
GACGAACGCUGGCGGCGUGCUUAACGCAUGCAAGUCGAACGGAAAGGACCUGCUUUUGUGGGGUGCUCGAGUGGCGAACGGGUGAGUAACACGUGAGUAACCUGCCCUUGACUUUGGGAUAACUUCAGGAAACUGGGGCUAAUACCGGAUAGGAGCUCCUGCUGCAUGGUGGGGGUUGGAAAGUUUCGGCGGUUGGGGAUGGACUCGCGGCUUAUCAGCUUGUUGGUGGGGUAGUGGCUUACCAAGGCUUUGACGGGUAGCCGGCCUGAGAGGGUGACCGGCCACAUUGGGACUGAGAUACGGCCCAGACUCCUACGGGAGGCAGCAGUGGGGAAUAUUGCACAAUGGGCGGAAGCCUGAUGCAGCAACGCCGCGUGCGGGAUGACGGCCUUCGGGUUGUAAACCGCUUUCGCCUGUGACGAAGCGUGAGUGACGGUAAUGGGUAAAGAAGCACCGGCUAACUACGUG